Molecule: ribosomal RNA, 497 nt
Filed under: uncultured bacterium
Lineage: Bacteria
Description: partial 16S ribosomal RNA
Rfam family: Bacterial small subunit ribosomal RNA
Source: RNAcentral
GAUGAACGCUGGCGGCGUGCCUAAUACAUGCAAGUCGAGCGAACAGACGAGGAGCUUGCUCCUCUGACGUUAGCGGCGGACGGGUGAGUAACACGUGGAUAACCUACCUAUAAGACUGGGAUAACUUCGGGAAACCGGAGCUAAUACCGGAUAAUAUAUUGAACCGCAUGGUUCAAUAGUGAAAGACGGCUUUGCUGUCACUUAUAGAUGGAUCUGCGCCGCAUUAGCUAGUUGGUAAGGUAACGGCCUAUCAAGGCAACGAUGCGUAGCCGACCUGAGGGGGUGAUCGGCCACACUGGAACUGAGACGCGCUCCAGACUCCUACGGGAGGCAGCAGUAGGGAAUCUUCCGCAGUGGGCGGAAGCCUGACGCAGCGACGCCGCGUGAGUGAUGAAGGUCUUCGGAUCGUAAAGCUCUGUUAUUGGUUAAGAACAGAUGUGUAAUUAACUGUGCACGUCUUGACGGUACCUAAUCAGAAAGCCACGGCUAACUACGUG